RNAcentral lists this ribosomal RNA (781 nucleotides) under uncultured bacterium. Its description in RNAcentral is "bacterial SSU rRNA". It matches the Rfam family "Bacterial small subunit ribosomal RNA", at positions 8 to 796 of the family's 1533-position model. The record is from RNAcentral.
AGAGUUUGAUCCUGGCUCAGGAUGAACGCUAGCGGCAGGCUCAACACAUGCAAGUCGAGGGACGGUAGCAAUACUGGACCGGCAAACGGGUGCGGAACACGUACGCAACUUACCCCAAACAGGUGAAUAGCCUUCUGAAAAGGAGAUUAAUACACCGUAAGAUAUAGGAGUGGCAUCAUUUUUAUAUAAUAGCUGAGGCGGUUUGGGAUGGGCGUGCGCCUGAUUAGGUAGUUGGUGGGGUAAAGGCUCACCAAGCCAACGAUCAGUAACUGGUGUGAGAGCACGACCAGUCACACGGGCACUGAGACACGGGCCCGACUCCUACGGGAGGCAGCAGUGAGGAAUAUUGGGCAAUGGACGGAAGUCUGACCCAGCCAUGCCGCGUGAAGGAUGAAGGCGUUCUGCGUUGUAAACUUCUUUUAUCUGGGAAGAAACCUACGAUUUCUAUUGUAGCUGACGGUACCAGAGGAAUAAGCACCGGCUAACUCCGUGCCAGCAGCCGCGGUAAUUCGGAGGGUGCAAGCGUUAUCCGGAUUUACUGGGUUUAAAGGGUGUGUAGGCGGAUAAUUAAGUCAGUGGUGAAAUCUCCGAGCUCAACUCGGAAACUGCCAAUGAUACUAUUUAUCUUGAAUAUUGUUGAGGUAGGCGGAAUAUGUCAUGUGGCGGUGAAAUGCAUAGAUAUGACAUAGAACACCGAUUGCGAAGGCAGCUUGCUAAACAAUUAUUGACGCUGAGGCACGAAAGCGUGGGGAUCAAACAGGAUUAGAUACCCUGGUAGUCC